AAUACCCUGCCUUGUUCGUGAUCGGGCCGAAUUCUCUGACCCAACAUUAACCAUCAGGGAGCUCGGAGUUCGGGCGGAGCCCACAUGCCCCUUUCGGGGGGACUUGGAAACCGUUCGGCUGAGCACCCACCUCGUUAGCGAGGAUCAGGGAUGGCGCCCCAACGACUAUGGCGGGGUAUUU
RNAcentral lists this non-coding RNA (181 nucleotides) under Verrucomicrobiota bacterium. RNAcentral describes it as "Verrucomicrobia bacterium (groundwater metagenome) 6S RNA". It matches the Rfam family "6S / SsrS RNA". From Rfam's summary of the family: E. coli 6S RNA was the first non coding RNA to be sequenced, but its function was unknown until recently. Lineage: Bacteria; Pseudomonadati; Verrucomicrobiota. The record is from RNAcentral.